GUUUGUGUUUCAGGUGUUUCUGCUGCCGAACGAGAUGAAAUGAAGGGAACGUCAGUGAAGAAGGGAGAAUCUGAUUCAGGUCUGUCUUCAGCUGCUGUAGCAGGAAUAUGUGCUGCUGUUCUGCUGAUAGUGGCUGCAGCUGCUGCUGGUGUGAUUUAUUAUCUCCAGCAUCGUCAAACAGGGCACUAUAGAACAGGAACCAGGACUCAGCACAGUAAUCAG
Long non-coding RNA from Sinocyclocheilus grahami, 222 nucleotides. RefSeq lists it as uncharacterized. The transcript has 3 exons. The record is from RefSeq and is a predicted model, not a curated record. NCBI's taxonomy places the organism in Eukaryota, Metazoa, Chordata, Actinopteri, Cypriniformes, Cyprinidae.